RNAcentral lists this ribosomal RNA (468 nucleotides) under uncultured bacterium. RNAcentral describes it as "partial 16S ribosomal RNA". It matches the Rfam family "Bacterial small subunit ribosomal RNA", at positions 28 to 507 of the family's 1533-position model. The record is from RNAcentral.
GACGAACGCUGGCGGCGUGCUUAACACAUGCAAGUCGAACGGAAAGGCCCUGCUUUUGUGGGGUGCUCGAGUGGCGAACGGGUGAGUAACACGUGAGUAACCUGCCCUUGACUUUGGGAUAACUUCAGGAAACUGGGGCUAAUACCGGAUAGGAGCUCCUGCUGCAUGGUGGGGGUUGGACAGUUUCGGCGGUUGGGGAUGGACUCGCGGCUUAUCAGCUUGUUGGUGGGGUAGUGGCUUACCAAGGCUUUGACGGGUAGCCGGCCUGAGCGGGUGACCGGCCACAUGGGGACUGAGAUACGGCCCAGACUCCUACGGGAGGCAGCAGUGGGGAAUAUUGCACAAUGGGCGGAAGCCUGAUGCAGCAACGCCGCGUGCGGGAUGACGGCCUUCGGGUUGUAAACCGCUUUCGCCUGUGACGAAGCGUGAGUGACGGUAAUGGGUAAAGAAGCACCGGCUAACUACGUG